GACGAACGCUGGCGGCGUGCUUAACACAUGCAAGUCGAACGGAAAGGCCCUGCUUUUGUGGGGUGCUCGAGUGGCGAACGGGUGAGUAACACGUGAGUAACCUGCCCUUGACUUUGGGAUAACUUCAGGAAACUGGGGCUAAUACCGGAUAGGAGCUCCUGCUGCAUGGUGGGGGUUGGAAAGUUUCGGCGGUUGGGGAUGGACUCGCGGCUUAUCAGCUUGUUGGUGGGGUAGUGGCUUACCAAGGCUUUGACGGGUAGCCGGCCUGAGAGGGUGACCGGCCACAUUGGGACUGAGAUACGGCCCAGACUCCUACGGGAGGCAGCAGUGGGGAAUAUUGCACAAUGGGCGGAAGCCUGAUGCAGCAACGCCGCGUGCGGGAUGACGGCCUUCGGGUUGUAAACCGCUUUCGCCUGUGACGAAGCGUGAGUGACGGUAAUGGGUAAAGAAGCACCGGCUAACUACGUGCCAGCAGCCGCGGUGAUACGUAGGGUGCGAGCGUUGUCCGGAUUUAUUGGUCGUAAAGGGCUCGUAGGUGGUUGAUCGCGUCGGAAGUGUAAUCUUGGGGCUUAACCCUGAGCGUGCUUUCGAUACGGGUUGACUUGAGGAAGGUAGGGGAGAAUGGAAUUCCUGGUGGAGCGGUGGAAUGCGCAGAUAUCAGGAGGAACACCAGUGGCGAAGGCGGUUCUCUGGGCCUUUCCUGACGCUGAGGAGCGAAAGCGUGGGGAGCGAACAGGCUUAGAUACCCUGGUAGUCCACGCUGUAAACGGUGGGUACUAGGUGUGGGGUCCAUUCCACGGGUUCCGUGCCGUAGCUAACGCUUUAAGUACCCCGCCUGGGGAGUACGGCCGCAAGGCUAAAACUCAAAGGAAUUGACGGGGCCCCGCACAAGCGGCGGAGCAUGCGGAUUAAUUCGAUGCAACGCGUAGAACCUUACCUGGGUUUGACAUGGAUCGGGAGCGCUCAGAGAUGGGUGUGCCUCUUUUGGGGUCGGUUCACAGGUGGUGCAUGGCUGACGUCAGCUCGUGUCGUGAGAUGUUGGGUUAAGUCCCGCAACGAGCGCAACCCUUGUUCACUGUUGCCAGCACGUUAUGGUGGGGACUCAGUGGAGACCGCCGGGGUCAACUCGGAGGAAGGUGGGGAUGAUGUCAAGUCAUCAUGCCCCUUAUGUCCAGGGCUUCACGCAUGCUACAAUGGCUGGUACAGAGAGUGGCGAGCCUGUGAGGGUGAGCGAAUCUCGGAAAGCCGGUCUCAGUUCGGAUUGGGGUCUGCAACUCGACCUCAUGAAGUCGGAGUCGCUAGUAAUCGCAGAUCAGCAACGCUGCGGUGAAUACGUUCCCGGGGCU
Molecule: ribosomal RNA, 1346 nt
Filed under: uncultured bacterium
Lineage: Bacteria
Description: bacterial SSU rRNA
Rfam family: Bacterial small subunit ribosomal RNA
Source: RNAcentral